GCGAUCCCCGCCGUGCCCCCCCGGCCCUGCCCUCAUCCCGGUGACACUCGUGUCCUCCUAUUAACCCUGCGGGGAGAAGGACAAAAGCUAAACUAUGAUCCUGCGCUGCUUCCCCCCACCCCGCCCCAUCCCGCUGCCGGCUCCAUGAGCUUCACAUCCUCCUGCUAAGGCUGAAAGGAACAAGAACAAGAGCUGCUGAUGGUUCAUCAGGCUUCUGUCUACAAAGAGCUGAUGAUCCCCUGAGCUGCUGAGUUACCAAAGCACCUUGCCCAGGACCAGCUCAGGCUCUCCCUCCCUCAUGGCCGGAGUGGAAAAGCACGUUUAAAUCCCGAACUCGGCUUUCCCACGUGGUGUCUCGCUGAGCUGCUGUCACAGCCACGCCGCGCUCUCACAGGGCACCGGACUUCUCCCCUGCCCUGCCGGGAGGGCACAAGGAGGCAGCCUUCAUCGAGCGAGGAGAGCGAAUCUUGGCAAAAAGAGCACCGAAGGAUGUGAACCCCUUGGAAAAUUCCACUUCCUGCCCAGCACUGCGUGUCCUUGGGUCUCUCACUCAUUCCCAUGCACUUAACGAGGGAUUUCUGCCUCAGGCCACCACACCAACUUUCUAAAUAAAUGCCGCGCACACCCGA
Molecule: non-coding RNA, 629 nt
Organism: Lonchura striata (white-rumped munia)
Lineage: Eukaryota; Metazoa; Chordata; Aves; Passeriformes; Estrildidae
Source: RefSeq, a predicted model, not a curated record